CCCUUGGGGGCGUGCCUAUACAUGCAGUCGAACGAACUCUGGUAUUGAUUGGUGCUUGCAUCAUGAUUUACAUUUGAGUGAGUGGCGAACUGGUGAGUAACACGUGGGAAACCUGCCCAGAAGCGGGGGAUAACACCUGGAAACAGAUGCUAAUACCGCAUAACAACUUGGACCGCAUGGUCCGAGCUUGAAAGAUGGCUUCGGCUAUCACUUUUGGAUGGUCCCGCGGCGUAUUAGCUAGAUGGUGGGGUAACGGCUCACCAUGGCAAUGAUACGUAGCCGACCUGAGAGGGUAAUCGGCCACAUUGGGACUGAGACACGGCCCAAACUCCUACGGGAGGCAGCAGUAGGGAAUCUUCCACAAUGGACGAAAGUCUGAUGGAGCAACGCCGCGUGAGUGAAGAAGGGUUUCGGCUCGUAAAACUCUGUUGUUAAAGAAGAACAUAUCUGAGAGUAACUGUUCAGGUAUUGACGGUAUUUAACCAGAAAGCCACGGCUAACUACGUGCCAGCAGCCGCGGUAAUACGUAGGUGGCAAGCGUUGUCCGGAUUUAUUGGGCGUAAAGCGAGCGCAGGCGGUUUUUUAAGUCUGAUGUGAAAGCCUUCGGCUCAACCGAAGAAGUGCAUCGGAAACUGGGAAACUUGAGUGCAGAAGAGGACAGUGGAACUCCAUGUGUAGCGGUGAAAUGCGUAGAUAUAUGGAAGAACACCAGUGGCGAAGGCGGCUGUCUGGUCUGUAACUGACGCUGAGGCUCGAAAGUAUGGGUAGCAAACAGGAUUAGAUACCCUGGUAGUCCAUACCGUAAACGAUGAAUGCUAAGUGUUGGAGGGUUUCCGCCCUUCAGUGCUGCAGCUAACGCAUUAAGCAUUCCGCCUGGGGAGUACGGCCGCAAGGCUGAAACUCAAAGGAAUUGACGGGGGCCCGCACAAGCGGUGGAGCAUGUGGGUUUAAUUCGAAGCUACGCGAAGAACCUUACCAGGUCUUGACAUACUAUGCAAAUCUAAGAGAUUAGACGUUCCCUUCGGGGACAUGGAUACAGGUGGUGCAUGAUGUCGUCAGCUCGUGUCGUGAGAUGUGGGUAAGUCCCGCAACGAGCGCAACCCUUAUUUAUCAGUUGCCAGCAUUAAGUUGGGACUC
RNAcentral lists this ribosomal RNA (1137 nucleotides) under Lactiplantibacillus plantarum. RNAcentral describes it as "bacterial SSU rRNA". It matches the Rfam family "Bacterial small subunit ribosomal RNA", at positions 34 to 1140 of the family's 1533-position model. The record is from RNAcentral. Lineage: Bacteria; Bacillati; Bacillota; Bacilli; Lactobacillales; Lactobacillaceae.